Molecule: long non-coding RNA, 338 nt
Organism: Notothenia coriiceps (black rockcod)
Lineage: Eukaryota; Metazoa; Chordata; Actinopteri; Perciformes; Nototheniidae
Exons: 4
Source: RefSeq, a predicted model, not a curated record
CACAGGAAUUACUCUCCUCUCCUCCCCUGGAACGCUGUCUGUCAACAACUCAACUGCACAAUAUACGCUGAAGUCACUCCCAGUUUAUUUGAUCCAAGGCGCUUCUGCUAGGCGGGCACAGCAGAGUGCAGACUUUAGUCUCCCCAUUCUGCUGGAAGGCUGCCAGCCACAGGUCACAUGACCUGGAAGAAAACACCUGGGAGACUUUUGGGAUCCCUUUUCGCAUGGGCUGCUUAUCAACCUGAAGGGAAGUCCAAAGGCUGAUGAACUGAUCUCUGUGUGACACCACGUUGCUCUGGAGUCCUGUAUGCCCUGGGAUACAACACCCAGUGCAAAUC